Molecule: long non-coding RNA, 644 nt
Organism: Mytilus californianus (California mussel)
Lineage: Eukaryota; Metazoa; Mollusca; Bivalvia; Mytilida; Mytilidae
Exons: 4
Source: RefSeq, a predicted model, not a curated record
UCCCGACUCAGUGUGCAAUUUGUUAUUUUUCACUGAUGUCGGAUGCAAUCCUCUACUCCAUCCUCUGGUAACACCAUCAUAGAGGUAUAAUGCAGGAGAUACAGAUUUUUGUGAUGAUGUGCCUUACCUUAGCAUGUGAAUGCUGCAUAGAGGACAGGAUAACUGCUUUGGAAUCGAGAAUGUAUUAUGUAGAGUUAUUGAAAAGAAGAAUAUCUUCACUUGAAGCAAAGCUCGACGCAGCUCAAAAAAUGGGUUGUCAGUCUGGUGUGGUGGAACUUGGCGAAUCACCAUUGCCGAAUAAACAAGUCAGUCACAUAAUAAGAUUUGAGAGGCCAUUUUUGAAAAUUCCAGCAAUUGUGUGUGGCAUGCGGGAAUUAGAAGCUGACAGGAAUCAUGACGUUCGUAUCAAUGCAAUUCCUUUCAAUGUAUCAACGACAGGAUUGUCUAUGAAAAUCUUUUCCUGGGGUGAAUCAUGUACACACAACGCCAUUUUCUCGUGGAUGGCAUGUCCGAUGGUUACUUAGCAACGACCAAUUUAGUCACAAAACAUUUUCUAUCUGAAUAAUAGGAUUCUUAAAAUGUUAAAAUUCCUUUUUAGAGCUGAACUUUUUUUCUGUUUGAAAUUGAAAAAAAAGAGCGAAUUG